This 88-nucleotide microRNA precursor is filed under the name Punica granatum (pomegranate). Its description in RNAcentral is "mir-156 microRNA precursor family". It matches the Rfam family "mir-156 microRNA precursor family". Rfam says of the family: This family represents the plant microRNA (miRNA) precursor mir-156. Lineage: Eukaryota; Viridiplantae; Streptophyta; Magnoliopsida; Myrtales; Lythraceae. The record is from Rfam by way of RNAcentral.
UUGACAGAAGAGAGUGAGCACGCAGAGGGACCAAUUGUAUAGAUGUGCUAUACCUUUGCUUUUGCGUGCUCACUGCUCUUCCUGUCAG